Molecule: ribosomal RNA, 497 nt
Filed under: uncultured bacterium
Lineage: Bacteria
Description: partial 16S ribosomal RNA
Rfam family: Bacterial small subunit ribosomal RNA
Source: RNAcentral
GAUGAACGCUGGCGGCGUGCCUAAUACAUGCAAGUCGAGCGAACAGAUGAGGAGCUUGCUCCUCUGACGUUAGCGGCGGACGGGUGAGUAACACGUGGAUAACCUACCUAUAAGACUGGGAUAACUUCGGGAAACCGGAGCUAAUACCGGAUAAUAUAUUGAACCGCAUGGUUCAAUAGUGAAAGACGGUUUUGCUGUCACUUAUAGAUGGAUCCGCGCCGCAUUAGCUAGUUGGUAAGGUAACGGCUUACCAAGGCAACGAUGCGUAGCCGACCUGAGAGGGUGAUCGGCCACACUGGAACUGGGACCCGGUCCAGACUCCUACGGGAGGCAGCAGUAGGGAAUCUUCCGCAAUGGGCGAAAGCCUGACGGUGCAACGCCGCGUGAGUGAUGAAGGUCUUCGGAUCGUAAAACUCUGUUAUUAGGGAAGAACAAAUGUGUAAGUAACUAUGCACGUCUUGACGGUACCUAAUCAGAAAGCCACGGCUAACUACGUG